Molecule: ribosomal RNA, 489 nt
Filed under: uncultured Sphingobacteriales bacterium
Lineage: Bacteria; Pseudomonadati; Bacteroidota; Sphingobacteriia; Sphingobacteriales
Description: bacterial SSU rRNA
Rfam family: Bacterial small subunit ribosomal RNA
Source: RNAcentral
UCAGAAACUUAAAGGAAUUAGACGGGGGCCCGCGACAAGCGGUGGAGCAUGUGGUUUAAUUCGAUGAUACGCGAGGAACCUUACCUGGGCUCAAAUGUAUGUUGACGUAUUCUGAAAGGGAUACUUCUUCGGACAAUAUACAAGGUGCUGCAUGGUUGUCGUCAGCUCGUGCCGUGAGGUGUCGGGUUAAGUCCCAUAACGAGCGCAACCCCUAUCAUUAGUUGCCAUCAGGUCAAGCUGGGGACUCUAAUGAAACUGCCUACGCAAGUAGUGAGGAAGGUGGGGAUGACGUCAAAUCAGCACGGCCCUUACGUCCAGGGCUACACACGUGCUACAAUGGCCGGUACAAAGGGCAGCUACCUGGUGACAGGAUGCUAAUCUCAAAAGCCGGUCUCAGUUCGGAUCGGAGUCUGCAACCCGACUCCGUGAAGCUGGAAUCGCCAGUAAUCGCGCAUCAGCCAUGGCGCGGUGAAUACGUUCCCGGGCCUU